AUUGAACGCUGGCGGCAUGCCUUACACAUGCAAGUCGAACGGCAGCACGGGAGCAAUCCUGGUGGCGAGUGGCGAACGGGUGAGUAAUAUAUCGGAACGUGCCCAGUCGUGGGGGAUAACGCAGCGAAAGCUGUGCUAAUACCGCAUACGAUCUAAGGAUGAAAGCGGGGGAUCGCAAGACCUCGCGCGAUUGGAGCGGCCGAUAUCAGAUUAGCUAGUUGGUGGGGUAAAGGCCCACCAAGGCGACGAUCUGUAGCUGGUCUGAGAGGACGACCAGCCACACUGGAACUGAGACACGGUCCAGACUCCUACGGGAGGCAGCAGUGGGGAAUUUUGGACAAUGGGCGCAAGCCUGAUCCAGCAAUGCCGCGUGCAGGAUGAAGGCCUUCGGGUUGUAAACUGCUUUUGUACGGAACGAAACGGCCCUUUCUAAUACAGGGGGCUAAUGACGGUACCGUAAGAAUAAGCACCGGCUAACUACGUGCCAGCAGCCGCCGUAA
RNAcentral lists this ribosomal RNA (500 nucleotides) under uncultured bacterium. RNAcentral describes it as "partial 16S ribosomal RNA". It matches the Rfam family "Bacterial small subunit ribosomal RNA", at positions 30 to 523 of the family's 1533-position model. The record is from RNAcentral.